GUGGGGAAUAUUGGACAAUGGGCGAAAGCCUGAUCCAGCCAUGCCGCGUGUGUGAAGAAGGUCUUCGGAUCGUAAAGCCCUUUCGACAGGGACGAUGAUGACGGUACCUGUAGAAGAAGCCCCGGCUAACUUCGUGCCAGCAGCCGCGGUAAUACGAAGGGGGCUAGCGUUACUCGGAAUUACUGGGCGUAAAGGGCGCGUAGGCGGCUCUGUUAGUCAGGCGUGAAAUUCCUGGGCUUAACCUGGGGACUGCGCUUGAUACUGCAGGGCUUGAGGCCGAGAGAGGGUGGUGGAAUUCCCAGUGUAGAGGUGAAAUUCGUAGAUAUUGGGAAGAACACCGGUGGCGAAGGCGACCACCUGGCUCGGUUCUGACGCUGAGGCGCGACAGCGUGGGGAGCAAACAGGAUUAGAAACCCGAGUAGUCC
Molecule: ribosomal RNA, 425 nt
Filed under: uncultured bacterium
Lineage: Bacteria
Description: bacterial SSU rRNA
Rfam family: Bacterial small subunit ribosomal RNA
Source: RNAcentral